RNAcentral lists this ribosomal RNA (253 nucleotides) under uncultured bacterium. RNAcentral's name for it is "partial 16S ribosomal RNA". It matches the Rfam family "Bacterial small subunit ribosomal RNA", at positions 524 to 776 of the family's 1533-position model. The record is from RNAcentral.
UACGUAGGUGGCAAGCGUUGUCCGGAUUUACUGGGUGUAAAGGGCGCGUAGGCGGGAUGGCAAGUCAGAUGUGAAAUCCAUGGGCUCAACCCGUGAACUGCAUUUGAAACUGUCGUUCUUGAGUGUCGGAGAGGCAAGCGGAAUUCCUAGUGUAGCGGUGAAAUGCGUAGAUAUUAGGAGGAACACCAGUGGCGAAGGCGGCUUGCUGGACGAUAACUGACGCUGAGGCACGAAAGCGUGGGGAUCGAACAGG